AGGAUUAACGCUGGCGGCGUGCCUAACACAUGCAAGUCGAACGAGGUAGCAAUACCUAGUGGCAGACGGGUGAGUAGCGCGUGGUCAACCUACCGUUGAGUGGGGGAUAACUAGCCGAAAGGUUAGCUAAUACCGCAUACGUCUCCGAGGGGCAUCCCUUGGCGAUAAAAAGGAGCAAUCCGCUCGAUGACGGGACCGCGUCCCAUUAGCUAGUUGGUGGGGUAACGGCCUACCAAGGCGUCGAUGGGUAGCUGGUUUGAGAGAGCGACCAGCCACACUGGGACUGAGAUACGGCCCAGACUCCUACGGGAGGCAGCAGUGAGGAAUUUUCCGCAAUGGGCGAAAGCCUGACGGAGCGACGCCGCGUGUGGGAAGAAGGCCUUCGGGUCGUAAACCACUGUCGAAGGGGAAGAUAAUGACGGUACCUUGGAGGAAGCCCGGCUAACUACGCGCCAGCAGCCGC
RNAcentral lists this ribosomal RNA (463 nucleotides) under uncultured bacterium. RNAcentral's name for it is "SSU rRNA". It matches the Rfam family "Bacterial small subunit ribosomal RNA", at positions 26 to 518 of the family's 1533-position model. The record is from RNAcentral.